This 231-nucleotide ribosomal RNA is filed under the name uncultured bacterium. RNAcentral describes it as "partial 16S ribosomal RNA". It matches the Rfam family "Bacterial small subunit ribosomal RNA", at positions 109 to 334 of the family's 1533-position model. The record is from RNAcentral.
AGUAACACGUGAGUAAUCUACCCUCGGGUGGGGGAUAACGUCUCGAAAGGGGCGCUAAUACCGCAUGAGACCACGACCUCUUCGGGGGAUGUGGCCAAAGGGGCGCAAGUCCCGCCUUUGGAUGAGCUCGCGGACCAUUAGCUUGUUGGUGGGGUAACGGCCGACCAAGGCAGAGAUGGUUAGCUGGUCUGAGAGGAUGAUCAGCCACACUGGAACUGAGACACGGUCCAG